This is a non-coding RNA of Gossypium arboreum, 141 nucleotides long. The record is from Rfam. NCBI's taxonomy places the organism in Eukaryota, Viridiplantae, Streptophyta, Magnoliopsida, Malvales, Malvaceae.
UAUUAAAAAUUUAUUUAUUUCUACUGUUAAAAACUGACGUGGUUGACGAAAUAAAUAAACAGUCACACAUAGCAUGCCACAUGUACCCCAUGUCAACAUACAAUCAGUUUUUAACAGUAAAAAUGAAUAAAAAUUUUAAUA